CGCAAUCAUGCGGCGCAGUGAUGCAAGGCGCCGAGAUUCAUCUCCGGGAAUCUAUCUUCCCCCGAACAUCCCGUGGGUGCCCCGUCGUCCGAUGGAACAACGACGGAGUCGAGAAGACAGCGCGAGGUUUGUGUAGUUCGCGAGUCGUCAUCGGCGGGAGUAUCGUCAGGAACGCGGCGGUGGUCCUGCGGGAGGUUGUGCGCGCGGCGGUGAAGGGAUAAAGAGAGAAAAAGGGAGCCGGAGUUCCAGAGAGAGAGGUAGCGAGAUUUUUCCCCACCGCUUGAAAAACCAACCCCCCACCAGCUGGGUACCGUGGGGGCAGGCGGCGGUGGCGGCGGUGUGGAAGAGACGCGCGGCGGGCUGCGGGGGCGACGAAAAGAGGGGGCGAGGAGGGUUACCCAGGGUGGUCUCGGUGGUGGCUGGGGGCGGCAGCCUCAAAAAUACACCGCAACCACACCGCGCGGCUCCACCGCAGAAGCCGCCAUCUUCCACCGCCGAACCGAAACGAGACCGCGCGAGUUAAACACCCUAUCCUACUUCCUCCGAGUAGAAGCUGCCCUGCCACCCGCUGAAGCAACGGCCAGGUGAAGAAUCACCAUCGCCGCGACUGCAACCAACUCUGACGGCGAAGGACACUUGGGAUAACCCGCGAUCCUCGACGCGGAAAAAUCUCCGAUCGGUGAUAGUGUGCGCGAAUCAAGAUAUAUCUCGCGGAUAUAUCUCGUGAUCGUUGCUUCGAUUGUUGCAAGUUGAAAUCUCAACGUCAGUGUUUACGAAUUUUAAUGCGUUAUUUGGUAUGUACAUAUAGAUAAUACGUUUUCGGUAAUUGAUCAAGAUUUCGAUCGACGAGAGAGAUACACGUGCGCGGCCCUCGCCAAAGUUCGGCGAAACUUGGCGCGGUGAGCGCCGCGUACGGAAACAUAUGGUUUAUUUGAAAAAGCCCUUCGCUUCUGGUAUAUAAUUUCAGUGAAAAUAUAAAAAAAAAAAGAAAGUGUGUGAAUGUGAUGUUAUCAAUUAUGAGGAUCGCCGGUGCGAAACAGUGUUUUAGACACGCGCGUUAAGAAAGGCAUAUCUCUAUAGAUCUGCUUGCGAAACUGACUUUUAACUCAACGAUCGGAUUUAAGUGUUUCGAACAGUCGCGAGUGUUCCACAUUGUCUUCGAUAAAGAAGACGACGGGCUCGAUCAAAGAAUACGUAGAAACAAGGGUCGUCAAGAUUGCCGACGAUUCCAAUAAAACGAAUUUUCUCCGCGAGUUGGCAAUCGAGACGGAGAAUUUGCAAACGGAUGCCCCAUGCCUGCACCCCGCGGUAGGAUAAUGAAAUAAGGAUCAAAGAAGUCUAGGGGCCCGCGAGGGCCGAGAAAGCCGCCGAAAAGUCGCGUGCCUCUCGAUUCCGAAGGAAACAAAUCCGAUUCUCGCCGGAAGCAGAUAUCGGCAUUCGUAAUGUGUUCCUCACUAUUGGCGAAACCAAUUUAUGCUUGUAACGUUCUUAGAUUGUUAUCAAGUGGACUCAAUAUAUUGACCGAUCUUGAAUGUCAAAUAUAACAAUCAAUUGUUAUCGACGAAACUUCAGUUUGCGGAAUAAGAGAUUGUAACUUACUUAAUAAAGUAUAUAUAUCACGAACACAGACGUAUCAUCAAAGGACCAAGCAUCAUAUCGAAAUUGAUCAUAAGGAUCGAUCCCCUCGUCACGGAUCACGUGUACAUAUACUUCGUUUAGAAUUCGGAAAAGUAAAACGUAAACAAUUGAGCAGCCGAAUUCAUUCGAAAAGCUCGUAGGGCAAGGUGACAUCUCAAUCAAGAGAACUAAUGAUAUCAUUCUCAUGACGAAUCCUUCGCGAGAUGCUCGACCCGAGGAUCGGCCUCCUGGCCUAGAUUAUCCUGAUCCCAGAUCAGUGCGUGGCAGUCAUCAGGUGCAUCAAGCAGUGAAUCAAAUCAACGGGCCCAGAAUACGGAGGACCCGGGCCUCGUCCUCGAGGAGAAGAAUGCACUUGGCCAACGAGGUUCCUCCUCAAGGUUCGGCCGGCGGAAAUCAUCUUUCCGAUUAUGCUCUCACCGCCGAUCUGCUUGCCGAGAGGACACUGGAUGGACUUCUCGCCGAGCAUCCUGGAGAACUUGUUCGUACAGGUUGCCCACAUGUGGUAUGCACAGUAUUACCAUCACAUUGGAGGUCGAACAAGACUCUUCCGGUAGCCUUCAAGGUAGUAGCCCUCGGCGAGGUUGGAGAUGGAACCCUCGUGACCGUUCGGGCCGGAAACGAUGAGAAUUGUUGCGCGGAACUACGAAAUUCUACUGCUCUAAUGAAAAACCAGGUCGCCAAAUUUAAUGAUCUUAGGUUCGUCGGUCGAAGUGGUAGAGGAAAAAGUUUCACCCUGACGAUCAUGCUGCAAACAUCACCGCCGCAAGUGGCCACCUUGUCGAAGGCGAUCAAGGUGACUGUGGACGGUCCAAGGGAACCGCGGUCGAAGACAAGACACCAGGCCUUUCAUCCCUUUCACUUCGGACCUCGUCCAUUCCCCUUCGGACACCCGCAGGACCCGUUGGGAUUCAAACUGUCGGGAUUGCAACACCUGGGUCUGGAGCAAGGAGCGGGCCAGGGAUGGGGUGGGUUACCCCGAGGAUCUCUACCGCCGCACUGUCUUCCACCGCCUCCUGGUCAUCACCCGCACACACAUCCACAACCGGUUGGUGCAUCAGCCUUCAAUCCUUUCCAUCACGCCAUCGAGCAGAGAUCCCCGAGGCUACCUGGGCCUAACGCCGAAUCUUCGAGGAAUGACUUGGGUCCUAUCAGUGUGUCUGUGAGGGAAGUAACGCCGACAACGUCACCCGGCAACCCCGGACCGGGCUUGUUGACGACGGCUUCCGUAACGGCACCGACACCUCCCGCCGAGUCGACCACUACUACUACGACACCCAGCCCGUCUGGACAUCACUCACACUUUCAAGGUCUACAUCUGCUGGGUGCCACGGGAUCCAUCUUUGGAUCGAUAUUCGCGCCAUUGUUACCACAGUCUUCUUGGCUUUACAAUCCCCUAUAUCACACGCAACAGUACAUCCUGGAGCCGGAAUGGCACGCUUUGGCCUUGCGAAUGGCUCAACAACGAUUGCAGAGGCCGGAUCAGGCCCGAUUGGAGGAACUCAGGAAACUUAGGAGCAGCAGCGACAGUCCCGAGAGCAGUACGAAAGACGAAGAACGGAGAGGAGACGAUCAAGGCGCUUUACAUCGAUCCGGAUUGGAUAGUCCUGACGAUAGCAUCGAAGUGGAUGAUAAGAACGAUCAAGAUCUAAAUAGAGACCGCAUUAGAAGCGAUGAGUCAAUACCCGAGCAAGAUUCUCCAAGAAUCUCGCCGAUUAGGAGCGAUCUGGAGGAUGCUGCGUCUACAGAUGCCACCUUCCAAGAAGCAUCGAUUCAUCUACGACAAAGUAUAGAGAAUUUGAACGACUCGGAUCUCCAAAUCGAUCAGGAUCAGAUUGUUCGUCGCGGUGACCUCACUGUAAAAAUCCGUCUAGAGGGUACGGUCGAUCUUAGCACGAAGAAGGGUCAGGAUAAGGAAAACGUCGGUCAAGAUCUGACGACGCGAAGAAAGGAGGAUGGGAUAGAUGUCGAAAGAGAAGCCAUCAGAUCACGAAGAGAGAGAAGUCCUAAGCCUAGACAGGUGUGGAGACCUUAUUAAGAAUUAAAGUCAGUAUAUUUGUUCUGUGAGAGAAUCCUUCAAGCGUGAUGAUCUUAACGAAUUCGAUGAUCAAGAAGAAAACUUCAUUUCCGCUAAGAGUUCAGCGGACAUUGAUCAAUUCCAUCUCAAUAAUUCGAAACUAAACCCUAAAAGUGGAGCUUGCACGAUGUUGUACAAUAGUUUAGCAAUGCUAAGCGAUACAUCAUCAUCGUCAAGUUUUCGAGGGAUAAACGAAACACGCCCGUUGGAUGCUCGAACAUCUCGCGCAAUAUAACGCGGUUAAUCAUCUGCUUGAAAAUUAAUUAUCAAAACUUUCGGACGAACUUUUUUGUCAAAGUUAUUUAUCUAUUCGUAUGCCCGUUGCGGUAUCGUCUAAGAACAGUCAAGGACUCGAGGACUAACCAGGGUUUACGUUCGCAUAUAUAGUAUGUACAUAUAUACAAUGACGUCCGAUUAUUAUAUAAGUUAAUGUUUCAAGUAAACGUUAAGCACACUACCCUCUCGUCAUUCCGAUUAAGAAUACUUAAACUUUCUGAAUGUCUUAUGGACUACACGAAUAUGCUGUUGAAGCGCGCGCAACGCGCAUGUGUAUCUUAAUUCUGAAGAACGAAUUUCGUAAGUCAGGAUGUACGUUUUUCCAUGAUCUUUUAUUUAUUAUCUUCUUCGAACUAUAUUGUAACGUCGAUUUUAGGCAAGAAAAUACUCGUGUGACAGAUGACAUUUGGGAGGUUUCCUGGUACAAGCGAAAUUACGAGCUAUCUACGUUGUAAAUAUUAUCAUAUAGAAAAAUUUUAAUCCUGGCCGAGUCACAUUCUUUUGCAAAUUAUUAUCUCCUUUUUAUGAGGCAAUGUCAUUUUUUAGAAGCAGAGACAUCGAUAGUAAAAUGUCAUUACAUAAUUAUUGUUUACAUGAUUCAUGAAGUCGUCGAUGACGACGCUGUAUGUAUGCGUGACUACAGGCCUUAAUCAAAAUCAUUCAUUGUUUAAGUACGUCAUCAAAUAAAGUAAUAUCAUCCGUUC
RNAcentral lists this unclassified non-coding RNA (4692 nucleotides) under Acromyrmex echinatior (Panamanian leafcutter ant). Its description in RNAcentral is "uncharacterized LOC105148694, transcript variant X1". Lineage: Eukaryota; Metazoa; Arthropoda; Insecta; Hymenoptera; Formicidae. The record is from RNAcentral.